Long non-coding RNA from Gasterosteus aculeatus aculeatus (three-spined stickleback), 3916 nucleotides. The record is from Ensembl. Lineage: Eukaryota; Metazoa; Chordata; Actinopteri; Perciformes; Gasterosteidae.
CACAGCAUAAGAACACAGUCUGUUGCACAUCCAGUCAGUCAGUUUCAAACCUCGCAUCUACACACUGAAGUUUUCCGGACCUACACUUGCAGAAAGCAACCAUGUAAUGCCUCAGGAGUCUGUAGAGGGGACGAAGACGCGUUCUGCUGCACUCAACAGAGCUCAAGACCAACGGGACGCCAUCAGGACGCCACGUCAACGGGACGCCAUCAGGACGUCACAUCAACCCCUCAGGAGCAAAUCCAGAUCUACGCAUGACACCCCCCCCCCCCCACACACACACACACACACACACACACACACACACACACACAGAUGUACACACAGACACACUAUCAUUUGGUUCUAAACAAUGACACACACUAAUAUUUAGAUGUACACAAAGACACAAUAACCAUUAGAUGUACACACAGACACACUAACAAUGAGAUCUACACACAGACACACUAUCAUUUGGUUCUAAACAAUGACACACACUAAUAUUUAGAUGUACACAAAGACAAUAACAAUUAGAUGUACACACAGACACACUAACAAUUAGAUGUACACACAGACACACUAACAUUUGGUUCUAAACACAGACACACACUAAUAUUUAGAUGUACUCAAAGACAACAAUUAGAUGUACACACAGACACACUAACAAUUAGAUCCACACACAGACACACUAACAAUUAGAUGUACACACAGACACACUAACAUUUGGUUCUAAACAAAGACACACACUAACAUUUAGAUGUACACAAAGACACAUUAAUAUUUAAAUGUACACAAAGACACAAUAACAAUUAGAUGUACACAAAGACACAAUAACCAUUAGAUGUACACACAGACACACUAACAAUGAGAUCUACACACAGACACACUAUCAUUUGGUUCCAAACAAUGACACACACUAAUAUUUAGAUGUACACAAAGACACACUAACAUUUGGUUCUAAACAAAGACACACACUAACAUUUAGAUGUACACAAAGACACAUUAAUAUUUAGAUGUACACACAGACACACUAACAAUUAGAUCUACACACAGACACACUAACAAUUAGAUGUACACACGGACACAUCCUGAUGACCAUCCUCACGUCUCUUCUCCUUGUCUGCAGACCAACAGGACGCCAUCAGGACGCCACGCCAUCGGGACGUCAUCAGGAUUCCAUCAGGACGCCAUCAGGACGCCGCGUCAACCCCUCAGGAGCAAAUCCAGAUCUACUCAUGACACACACAGACACACACACAGACCAACAGGACGCCAUCAGGACGCCACGUCAUCGGGACGCCAUCAGGACACCACGUCAUCGGGACGCCAUCAGGACGCCGCGUCAACCCCUCAGGAGCAAAUGCAGAUCUACUCAUGACACACACACACACACACAGAUGAACUCACAGACACACUAACAUUUGGUUGUAAACGAAGACACACUAAUAUUUAGAUGUGCACAAAGACAUAUUAAUAUUUAGAUGUACACACAGACACACUAACAUUUAGAUGUACACACAGACACACUAACAAUUAGAUGUACACACAGACACACUCAUUUGGUUUUAAACAAAGACACACACUGAUAUUUAGAUGUACACAAAGACACAAUAACAAUUAGAUCUACACACAGACACACUAACAAUUAGAUGUACACACGGACACACUAACAAUUAGAUCUACACACAUACACACUAACAAUUAGAUGUACACACAGACACAUCCUGAUGACCAUCCUCACGUCUCUUCUCCUUGUCUGCAGACCAACAGGACGCCAUCAGGACGCCACGUCAUCGGGACGCUACGUCAUCGGGACACCAUCAGGACGCUAUCAGGACGCCACGUCAUAGGGACGCCAUAAGGAUUCCAUCAGGACGCCAUCAGGACGCCGCGUCAACCCCUCAGGAGCAAAUCCAGAUCUACUCAUGACACACACACACACCCCCACACACACGCACACACACACAGAUGUACUCAGAGACACACUAACAUUUAGACACGCUGGCAAAUUUAGAUGUACAAUUAGAUGUACACACAGACACACUAACAUUUGGUUCUAAACAAAGACACACACUAACAUUUAGAUGUACACAAAGACACAUUAAUAUUUAGAUGUACACACAGACACACUAACAAUUAGAUGUACACACAGAUACACUAUCAUUUGGUUCUAAACAAAGGCACACACUAACAUUUAGAUGUACACAAAGACACACACUAAUAUUUAGAUGUACACAAAGACAUAUUAAUAUUUAGAUGUACACACAGACACACUAACAUUUAGAUGUACACACAGACACUAACAAUUAGAUGUACACACAGACACACUAACAAUUAGAUCCACACACAGACACACUAACAAUUAGAUGUACACACAGACACACUAACAAUUAGAUCUACACACAGACUCACUAACAAUUAGAUGUACACACGGACACACUAACAAUUAGAUCUACACACAGACACACUAACAAUUAUAUGUACACACAGACACAUCCUGAUGAUCCUCCUCACGUCUCUUCUCCUUGUCUGCAGACCAACAGGACGCCAUCGGGACGCCAUCAGGACACCACGUCAUCGGGACGCCACGUCAUCGGGACGCCAUCAGGACGCCGCGUCAACCCCUCAGGAGCAAUUCCAGAUCUACUCAUGACACACACACACACAGAUACCAACAGGACUUCAUCAGGACGCCACGCCAUCGGGACGCCAUCAGGACACCACGUCAUCGGGACGCCAUCAGGAUGCCACGUCAUCGGGACGCCCUCAGGACAAAUCUGAAUCGGGACGCCAUCAGGACGCCGCGUCAACCCCUCAGGAGCAAAUCCAGAUCUACUCAUGACACACACACACACACAGAUGAACUCAGACACACUAUCAUUUGGUUCUAAACAAUGACACACACUAAUAUUUAGAUGUACACAAAGACACAAUAACAAUUAGAUGUACACACAGACACACUAACAGUUAGAUCUACACACAGACACACUAACAAUUAGAUGUACACACAGACACACUAACAUUUGGUUCUAAACAAAGACACACUAACAUUUAGAUGUACACAAAGACACAUUAAUAUUUAGAUGUACACACAGACGCACUAACAAUUAGAUGUACACACACACACUAACAUUUGGUUCUAAACAAAGACACACACUAACAUUUAGAUGUACACAAAGACACAAUAACAAUUUGAUUUACACACAGACACACUAACAAUUAGAUGUACACACAGAGACAUCCUGAUGAUCUUCCUCAUGUCUCUUCUCCUUGUCUGCAGACCAACAGGACGCCAUCAGGACGCCACGCCAUCGGGACGCCAUCAGGACACCACAUCAUCGGGACACCAUCAGGACACCACGUCAUCGGGACGCCAUCAGGACGCCUAACAAUUAGAUGUACACACAGACACACUAACAAUUAGAUGUACACACAGACACACUAUCAUUUGGUUCUAAACAAUGACACACACUAAUAUUUAGAUGUACACACAGACACACUAACAGAUAGAUCUACACACAGACACACUAACAAUUAGAUGUACACACAGACACACUAUCAUUUGGUUCUAAACAAUGACACACACUAAUAUUUAGAUGUACACAAAGACACAAUAACAAUUAGAUGUACACACAGACACAUUAGUAUUCAGAAGUACACAAAAACACAAACAUCUGGUUCUGCACAAAGACACAUUAAUAUUUAAAUGUACACACAGACACACUAACAUUUAGAUGUACACACAGACACACUAACAAUUAGAUGUACACACAGACACACUAACAACAUUAACAUGUUAAUAACUUUUCUUCUUUUCUCUCUUCUCAGGAACUGCUUCAGAUGUUUUCCCAAUGAUUGUGUUAUUAUUAUUGUUAAAUAUGUCGUCUGUUUAUUAUUUUAACAAUGAAAAUACAUUUUAAUAAAAAUAAAACCAAAU